Molecule: ribosomal RNA, 484 nt
Filed under: uncultured bacterium
Lineage: Bacteria
Description: partial 16S ribosomal RNA
Rfam family: Bacterial small subunit ribosomal RNA
Source: RNAcentral
GUUGAACGCUGGCGGCAGGCCUAACACAUGCAAGUCGAGCGGAUGGACCGAGCUUGCUCCUGGAUUCAGCGGCGGACGGGUGUGUGAUGCCUAGGAAUCUGCCUGGCAGUGGGGGAUAACGUCCGGAAACGGGCGCUCAUACCGCAUACGUCCUGAAGGGGAAAGUGGGGGAUCUUCGGACCUCACGCUAUCUGAUGUGCCUACGUGGGAUUAGCUCGUUGGUGGGGUAAAGGCCUACCAAGACGACUAGCCGUAACUGGUCUGAGAGGAGGAUCAGUCACACUGGAACUGAGCCACGGUCCAGACUCCUACGGGAGGCCGCAGUGGGGAAUAUUGGACAAUGGGCGAAAGUCUGAUCCAGCGAUGCCGCGUGUGGCAAGAAGGUCGUCGGAUUGUAAAGCACUUUAAGGUUGGAGGAAGGUCAGUAUGGUAAUACCGUGUUGUUUUGACGUUACCAACAGAAUAAGCACCGGCUAACUUCGUG